UUUAUCAAAAACCUGUCUUUUAGUUAUCUUGUUAAAGUCCGGCCUGCUCGUGAUUAUUUAAAUAGCCGCGGUAUUUUAACUGUGCUAAGGUAGCAUAAUAAUUAGUCUUUUAAUUGGGGUCUAGAAUGAAUGGUUAAACGAGAAAUUUACUUUAUUAAUUUUAUUUAUUUUGAAAUUUAUAUUUUAGUUAAAAAGCUAAAAUUUAAAAGAGGGACGAUAAGACCCUAUAGAUCUUAAAAUUUAUUUUUAUUUUUUUUUUUUUGUUGUUUUUUUAAAAUUAAUUCUAUAUUUUUUAUUGGGGUGAUAAUUAAAAAUUUAAACUUUAAUUUAUUUUUACAUUUUUUUAUGGAUGUUUGAUCCUUAUUUUUUGAUUUUAAGAUAAAGAUACCUUAGGGAUAACAGCGUUAUAAAAUUGGAGAGUUCUUAUUGAUAAUUUUGUUUGCGACCUCGAUGUUGGAUUAAAAUUUUACUGGGGGGUAGUUUUUACAGUUUUAGGUCGGUUCAACCUUUAAAAUUUUACAUGAUCUGAGUUCAAACCGG
Molecule: ribosomal RNA, 540 nt
Filed under: Sarimini gen. 1 sp. 1 LY-2020
Lineage: Eukaryota; Metazoa; Arthropoda; Insecta; Hemiptera; Issidae
Description: partial 16S ribosomal RNA
Rfam family: Bacterial large subunit ribosomal RNA (bases 395-540)
Source: RNAcentral